UGGGGAAUAUUGCGCAAUGGGCGAAAGCCUGACGCAGCGACGCCGCGUGGGGGAUGAAGCAUUUCGGUGUGUAAACCCCUGUUGCUCGGGACGAACAACUGGUUUUGACCAGUCUGACGGUACCGGGUGAGGAAGCACCGGCUAACUCCGUGCCAGCAGCCGCGGUAAUACGGAGGGUGCGAGCGUUGUCCGGAAUCACUGGGCGUAAAGGGCGCGUAGGCGGUCUGCUAAGCGUGUGGUGAAAGCUCGGGGCUCAACCCCGAGUCUGCCAUGCGAACUGGUGGACUUGAGCACUGUAGAGGCAGGUGGAAUUCCGGGUGUAGCGGUGGAAUGCGUAGAGAUCCGGAAGAACACCAGUGGCGAAGGCGGCCUGCUGGGCAGUUGCUGACGCUGAGGCGCGACAGCGUGGGGAGCAAACAG
This 420-nucleotide ribosomal RNA is filed under the name uncultured bacterium. Its description in RNAcentral is "bacterial SSU rRNA". It matches the Rfam family "Bacterial small subunit ribosomal RNA", at positions 355 to 775 of the family's 1533-position model. The record is from RNAcentral.